UUUUCAGAUGUCCAGUUCCUCGGAUAAAUCCUCAUUCUUCAGGCGUAUCAAAUUGCCCAUAAUCAGGAAUUAACCCUCAGUCAAAAGGAUUCAGCAACUUAGUCGCGUGUGUGAAGGAAAAUGGGCAGUAAGCUAGAGACUUUCUGAUGGAUCCUGCAUUUCUGGACUUUCGAGAGUGGCUGCCAAGAAGACACCAAGCUCCACUAUCCUCUUAUUCUUCCUGAAGGCUUCUUCUCUCUUCUCU
RNAcentral lists this long non-coding RNA (244 nucleotides) under Vitis vinifera (wine grape). Its description in RNAcentral is "long non-coding RNA (VVIN_LNC006639)". Lineage: Eukaryota; Viridiplantae; Streptophyta; Magnoliopsida; Vitales; Vitaceae. The record is from RNAcentral.